CUACAGUGACAUUUCCAUUUCCUGAUUUCCUUUGGCACACCGACCAUGUAACUGAUUUUUUUUCCAUGGUCAAAGUCAAUUAGGAGGCAUCCUCAUUGUACCUCAAAUGGAGUUUUAAUUUGUGUGUAUAUUAUUAAGAUAGACCUUUUCCCUCUGGAUCAUUCACUUUGCACGAGACACUCAGUAGAUGUGAGUCCCCUGCUGCUGAGUUACACAACCCCUGUGUUUGGUUCAUUCCUUGGGUUAUGAAGGUUAAGGCUGCACAGAAUUCCAGGCAUCACGAAGACGAUGAUCAUGAUAAUGACAAUGACGAUGAUGAUAACAUGAGCAACAGCUGCCGUCGUUAGAUAGAAGCUAUACUGUGCCAAGCACUGUGCUGAGUCACAGUGUCACUGGAUCAUCAGGAAGACUGUAAGAUCUCUUCAGGAAAGGAAGAGCAAGGGCACUUAAGUGGAGACCAACAAGGGCCAGAAAACUGGAACAGGGAGGAGCAGCAAAUGAAAGGAGGAAACUCAUCCUCAAUAGCUGCCUCGCUUAACAAGAGGGCAGGUGUCCUUUGGAGCAAAAAUGUACAUUUUCUACCUGAAGAGAUCCCACAGCUGCCAGAGGGUCCUCCCCAGACUCCCACCCCAGGCCAGGAAGGUUCCCACCACACUAUAUGACCCUGAAGUGAAUCACCUCUAACAUGCCAGCAGAGCUUCAGCUUGCUACAUGCACCCCAGGGAAGAACUGGCUGCAGAAAGUCAAGUGUGGGCCCAGUCCUGAGAGGCAGACCUUCUUUCUGACUCUGCCCAGACCUGAAAACAGCAUACCCAGAUCCAAGUAUCUUUUAUGCUACCUUCUUGCUGUGUGACUUUGGGUAAGAACCUUAAAUUCUCUAAACCUUCCUUCCCUCUUGUUAAAUGAGGAUUGUAAUACUAAGCUCACCAAGUUUGCUAUGAGCAUCAACUGGAUUAAUAUUGGAUGAUUAUUAAGGGUUACAAAAAUAUAAUAAAAGUGCUAAUGCUAAA
Molecule: non-coding RNA, 1010 nt
Organism: Ictidomys tridecemlineatus (thirteen-lined ground squirrel)
Lineage: Eukaryota; Metazoa; Chordata; Mammalia; Rodentia; Sciuridae
Source: RefSeq, a predicted model, not a curated record